CCUACGGGAGCAGCAGUGGGGAAUUUUGGACAAUGGGCGAAAGCCUGAUCCAGCAAUGCCGCGUGCAGGAUGAAGGCCUUCGGGUUGUAAACUGCUUUUGUACGGAACGAAACGGUUCGCCUUAAUACGGUGGGCUAAUGACGGUACCGUAAGAAUAAGCACCGGCUAACUACGUGCCAGCAGCCGCGGUAAUACGUAAGGUGCGAGCGUUAAUCGGAAUUACUGGGCGUAAAGCGUGCGCAGGCGGUUAUAUAAGACAGAUGUGAAAUCCCCGGGCUCAACCUGGGACCUGCAUUUGUGACUGUAUAGCUAGAGUACGGUAGAGGGGGAUGGAAUUCCGCGUGUAGCAGUGAAAUGCGUAGAUAUGCGGAGGAACACCGA
Molecule: ribosomal RNA, 381 nt
Filed under: uncultured bacterium
Lineage: Bacteria
Description: bacterial SSU rRNA
Rfam family: Bacterial small subunit ribosomal RNA
Source: RNAcentral